Molecule: ribosomal RNA, 506 nt
Filed under: uncultured bacterium
Lineage: Bacteria
Description: bacterial SSU rRNA
Rfam family: Bacterial small subunit ribosomal RNA
Source: RNAcentral
AACGAACGCUGGCGGCGUGUUUAAGACAUGCAAGUCGCACGGGGACAUUUGUGUAGCAAUACUCGGAUGUCCUAGUGGCGCACGGGUGAGUAACAUGUGAAUGACAUGCCCUAUAGUGGGGAAUAGCCCAGGGAAACUUGGAUUAAUACCCCAUGGUCUCGCAAGAGUAAAGGUGGCCGCAAGGCUGUCGCUAUAGGAUUGGUUCGCACCCUAUCAGCUUGUUGGCGGGGUAACGGCCCACCAAGGCUACGACGGGUACCUGGUCUGAGAGGACGAUCAGGCACACUGGAACUGAGACACGGUCCAGACACCUACGGGUGGCAGCAGUCGAGAAUAAUUCACAAUGGGGGCAACCCUGAUGGUGCAACGCCGCGUGGAGGAUGACGGUCUUCGGAUUGUAAACUCCUGUCAUCCGGGAGUAAGACCUGACGGUAAAUAGCCGGCAGGGUUGAUAGUACCGGAAGAGGAAGGGACGGCUAACUUCGUGCCAGCAGCCGCGGUAAUAC